Molecule: long non-coding RNA, 2748 nt
Filed under: Equus asinus (donkey)
Lineage: Eukaryota; Metazoa; Chordata; Mammalia; Perissodactyla; Equidae
Description: lncRNA (ENSEASG00005035734.1)
Source: RNAcentral
CUAAUGUAGUCACCUUUGGAAACUACCUCAGAGAAAUAUAUAACUAAGACAAAUAAGUAAAAAUGAUUUCUAAGGAGGAAAUUAAAUCAGGGAAGGGUGUAGAAAGUAUGAGUUUGGGGAUGGAGUUGCAAUUUUAAGUAGGGUGUCUAGGGAAGGAUUCCUUGAGAAAGUUAUGUUUAAAUUAAGACUAGAAGGAAGUGAGGAUAAGUGAGGCAAGAAACAUUCCAGGCAGAGGAAACAGUAAGUGCAAAGGCCCUGAGGCAGGAACAUGCCUGGCACAUUCAAGACAGCAAAAAGUUCAGUCUAUCUGAAGCCAAGUGAGUGAUGCGGUCUCAAGAAUAGUGUGAGAUAAAGUCAAAGAGGAUACUUCUGUCUGCUCUGCUGAGUGUAGACAAUAGGAAGCUAAAUAGACGGAGGGAGACCAGUUGGAAGACUACUGUAAUACUGCAGGCAAGAGAUGAUGCUGGCUUGGAUUAGGGUGGAAACAUCAGAGAUGGUGAGAGGUAGUUGAUUCUGGAUAUAUUUUGAACAUAUAUCCAACAAGAUUUGCUGAUGAAUUGGACAUAAAGUGCAGAGGAAGGAGAGAAGCCAAAGAUGAUUUCAAGAUUUUUGAGCCGAGCAACUGGAAUGACGGUGUUGGCACCCACCAGAUGAAGAAACCUGAGAAGAUUAGGAUUGGGACAGAAUAGUGGAAAGUCAUGUUAUGUUUGGAAUGACUGUUAGACUUCCAAGUGUAGCUAUUGAAUAUGAAGUGGAACACAUAACUGCACGUGUACGUGUGUGUAUAUGUAUACACGCACACACUUUUAAAUGCUUAGAAAAGUUUUGGAAAUACGCAUUAAAAACUGUUAACAGUGGCUACCUUGGGAUAAUAGGAAUCUUUGGAAGUGGCAUUGGGAUGUGAGAGGAGGGAGUAAUACGUAUCUUUUGUUUGCUUUUUAAAUUUAAUACUGUUCCACACCACGUAUUAUACAUAUAUGUAAGUAUUACCAUGUCCUGAAUUACUCUAUGACUGAAAAAUUACAUAAAAUUCGUAUGGUUGGUGAACUGAAUCAAGUCACCACAAAUAAGUUUUAACAGGAAAACCCACGUUGGACCAGGGUAUCGACAAUGUCCUUUCAAGCCCUGACGCUGAUUUCUACCACUGGGAGAGAACUGCCCGCUCUUACUCUCACUUCCUCCUCAGGCUUCUGUGAAAUUUGGAGUGCGUGAACAGCCUCUCUAAUUCACCUGCCUCAUCUCGAAAACAGUACCAAGAGCUCUCAGCGCUUACCUACCUCACAGGAAAUUUGAGGUUGGAUGCGAUAAGGUGUUCAAAUACUUUGAGUUACCACAAAGACAGGUGCUCGUGUAGGCAGGAUAUUAUGAGUCCUGGAAUAUUAAAAGACACAGUAAAAAGAAGCUUUUCCUGCCUUUUGAUCACACAGGCAUUUUUAUACUCUUGAACUAUUACUCUUCAUUUAGUCUGCCGUAGAAUGAGUGUUUCUCCCCAAACAGUAUUCAUUUUAGCAUUUUUGUUCAUGCCUUCUGUCAAACAAGAUUUCCUUAGCCUUUGAUUUUUAUCAAGAUUUACUUGACUUUAUUCUUCAAAGCAUUUAAUUCAAAGUUCACUCUAUCAGUGGGUGGAUUAGUUGAGUAACUGAAAUACCAGUGUUGAAUGCCAUAACAGUUUGUUAUAAUAUUUCUCUUCACAGGAGAAAUACUUACCAAAGUCACGUACUAAUGAACAAUGAAGUGACUGUCUAAAGAGCAGACAUUUUUAAAAUAAAGUUACUGGUAAACGCUGAAUGGAAAAUAAUAAUGACAGCUCUACAGAACGUUCAUUCAAUGCCUCUGAAGUAUGCUCCUAAGGCCAUCAUUAUGUGUUGGGUACUGUAUUCGGUGCUAAGAAUACAAGAAGAAAACACAUAUCUUUUCCCUCAUGAAGAUUAUAUUCUUCCAGAGAAAUGCCACACUGUAUUUUAAAUUCUGCAUAACUGUUCUAAUGAAGUACCAGAGAUGCCAUGGGAAGAGGAAUUUGGAGGUGGCUGGAAGUAUCCAUUUCUGGAGAUUAUGAAAUUUGCUAUUAUUACUUGGAAAAAAAAUUACCUUUAGUUCGACAAAGGUGAGGAGAGAACCAGAAAGUCAUCACCAUUCAGAAUCACAAAGGGCAGGCAAUGGAAAAAGUUGCAAGUUUCAGAAAAGAUGAGCCGUCUCAAUGUGUAAGAAGAUCUUUCUUAGAACUGGAACUUACGAGAAAUCAGACUGAAUGUUCUCAAAACAAACAGCCUUAAAAAAAAAACAGAACAGCCAGAUAAAAAUUAUGUCAAAUAGAGGCUGGGUAUUGAUGGAUAUUAUGGGUUGGGGAAGUGGGUCCUACCUCUGGAAGAAGGUUGAAGGAGAUUUCCUUAGAGGUUCUUUUCUAGUCUAGGGAACUUAAAACAAGAACAGUAAUUGUGAAGUUAUAUUUUCUCUAGAGAAAGAUUUCUCAACAACCAAAUGCACCCAAGAUGCUAAUAUUCUAUUUAUAUUUUAUAAUUAUUUAAACAAUGAUCUAAAACCCGAGAGGAGUAAAGAAAACAAACAGGCCUUGUUAAUUACUGAAGCGAGAAUUAAAGUACAGCCUUUACCAGAUAUUCUUUUGUCUGCAGCUCAGUAGAAAUCUUCCAUUCACUGGUUAAAUGUCUGUCAAAUUUUACAGAGAAUAAGUCAGAUGUGACCUGGACAUACUGAGCCCAUGUGGCAGAUUCGUCAGCUACCAAAUAAAAG